This 213-nucleotide long non-coding RNA is filed under the name Elaeis guineensis (African oil palm). Its description in RNAcentral is "long non-coding RNA (EGUI_LNC013649)". The record is from RNAcentral. Lineage: Eukaryota; Viridiplantae; Streptophyta; Magnoliopsida; Arecales; Arecaceae.
CCCAAACAUUUUAUAUGAGAAUAUUCAUGGGAGAGUAUGAUGGUAGGAAGAUGAACCUGGUUUGGACUCUUCCUGCACUACAGCACCAUCACCACAUCCCUCACUGUCAUUCUUGUAGCCCAUCUGAGAGUCCAUGGACUCAAUGGUUGCUUUGAGUCGGCCCACCACUUUUUUGUGGGCUGCAGGCACUUCUGCUUCUAGCUCCACCAUUCC